CUUGGAUUUAGUUUAAGACUUAGAUUUAGUGUAGUAUCUGUUCUUAUCAGUUUAAUAUCUGAUAGAUCCUCAAUGAGAGGACUUUAUAUUAAAUGGAUUUUUGGGUGUUUGAUGACUGGAA
RNAcentral lists this small nuclear RNA (121 nucleotides) under Chlamydotis macqueenii (Macqueen's bustard). RNAcentral describes it as "Chlamydotis undulata macqueenii U2 spliceosomal RNA". It matches the Rfam family "U2 spliceosomal RNA", at positions 8 to 123 of the family's 192-position model. From Rfam's summary of the family: U2 is a small nuclear RNA (snRNA) component of the spliceosome (involved in pre-mRNA splicing). Complementary binding between U2 snRNA (in an area lying towards the 5' end but 3' to hairpin I) and the branchpoint sequence (BPS) of the intron results the bulging out of an unpaired adenosine, on the BPS, which initiates a nucleophilic attack at the intronic 5' splice site, thus starting the first of two transesterification reactions that mediate splicing. Lineage: Eukaryota; Metazoa; Chordata; Aves; Otidiformes; Otididae. The record is from Rfam by way of RNAcentral.